Arabidopsis thaliana (thale cress) is the source of this 236-nucleotide long non-coding RNA. RefSeq annotates it as other RNA. The record is from RefSeq. Lineage: Eukaryota; Viridiplantae; Streptophyta; Magnoliopsida; Brassicales; Brassicaceae. The transcript has a single exon.
ACCCUCAAUCUCCAGUUCCGAUUUGUCUCUCAAUUCACCCUAAUCGUAAUUCGUAAACUGAUCACAACAUGACACAUACACCAUCGAACAUCUGUUUUUGAAUUACUUAGCGAUUAUUAGACAUCGUUCUAUCAAAUCGAAAACAUAUCCUACCGUCGAUCCUCAUUUCCGCCGUUAACGCCUUCCAUCUUCAGUCUUUGCUAAUCAAAAACCAGUGACACUGCCUUCAUCUCUUU